This 468-nucleotide ribosomal RNA is filed under the name uncultured bacterium. RNAcentral describes it as "partial 16S ribosomal RNA". It matches the Rfam family "Bacterial small subunit ribosomal RNA", at positions 28 to 507 of the family's 1533-position model. The record is from RNAcentral.
GACGAACGCUGGCGGCGUGCUUAACACAAGCAAGUCGAACGGAAAGGCCCUGCUUUUGUGGGGUGCUCGAGUGGCGAACGGGUGAGUAACACGUGAGUAACCUGCCCUUGACUUUGGGAUAACUUCAGGAAACUGGGGCUAAUACCGGAUAGGAGCUCCUGCUGCAUGGUGGGGGUUGGAAAGUUUCGGCGGUUGGGGAUGGACUCGCGGCUUAUCAGCUUGUUGGUGGGGUAGUGGCUUACCAAGGCUUUGACGGGUAGCCGGCCUGAGAGGGUGACCGGCCACAUUGGGACUGAGAUACGGCCCAGACUCCUACGGGAGGCAGCAGUGGGGAAUAUUGCACAAUGGGCGGAAGCCUGAUGCAGCAACGCCGCGUGCGGGAUGACGGCCUUCGGGUUGUAAACCGCUUUCGCCUGUGACGAAGCGUGAGUGACGGUAAUGGGUAAAGAAGCACCGGCUAAGUACGUG